This is a long non-coding RNA of Pseudopipra pipra, 1547 nucleotides long. RefSeq lists it as uncharacterized. The record is from RefSeq and is a predicted model, not a curated record. The transcript has 2 exons. NCBI's taxonomy places the organism in Eukaryota, Metazoa, Chordata, Aves, Passeriformes, Pipridae.
UUGGGAAGUCUCUGGAAUCAGGAAACGGGCAAUGGCCCACAGAUCUUUUAAUGAAGUAGGCAGAGGCUUAUUCAUCAAGAGUAAGUGAUGGUGACUGCAAACAACAAAGGUAACAAUUAAGAUUUAUCCAACUGCUUUACUUCUGGCAGUCAGACACGGAGGGUUCCUGCAGCACAUCCUGGGUGUGUUUGUACUUUGAAGACAACUCAGGAGGGUCAACAGGUGCUUUAGUUUCUGUCCAGCCCUCGGACUCGUGAUGACCAACCCCGCAGUCAGCGCAGGGACAGAGAGGCCGGUGCUGUCACACAGGGGAGACGGCAGAACCUGCAACAACAGCCUGGAGUCACUCGUGCCUUUUACAGACCUUCGGUUCCACAGAGCAGCGAGGCGGGAUGGUUCACCCUGUAAGGACAUCAUGGACCGCACAGCACUCAGUGAACCCAGCGGGGUGUAAAUGCUGCCUCGGGAACGCGGCACCGCCCGCGCCGGCUAAGCUCCAGCGCAGAGCCGAGGGGUCUGACCGGACAAGGGACCUGACCUGACAAGGUAUCUGACCGUGCAAGGGCCGCGCAUCACCAGCCCUGCCCUGCCCGCCUGCGCCUCUCCCGGCAGGAACAUCCCGAAGGACCUGCACGGCGGGGCUGUGGGUGCCCCGGGGAGGACGGAGGGAGUUUGUUCAUCGCCCUCCAUCUCCCAGAAGAGAGGGAAGGGGCUCUGAGGCAGAGCACCGGGGAGCCCACCUCGGGACUGCCCGCCUCCCCUGCGGCCCCCCGGCCCCUCCGCGCACCACCAGCCGUGUCCCGCACCGCCCCGCACCCGCGGACCCCGCAGGGUGUCCCACGGCCCCGCCCCGCACACCCCGACCGACCCCGCACACCCUCACGAACCCCGCACACCCUGUACCACCCCCGCAUACCCUGACUGACCCCGCACACCCUGACUGACCCCGCACACCCUGUUCCACCCCCGCACACCGUGACUGACCCCGCACACCCUGUACCACCCCCGCACACCCUGACUGACCCCGCACACCCUGUGCCAUCCCCGCUCCCAUCGGGUUCCCCCGCCCCGCCCCUCCGGCGGCCCCGCCCCACCGGGCGCUCGGCGAUACCAUUCCCCUCCCACGGGGGGGGGGGGGGCGUCCUUCUAUUUUUAUUUUUAUUUUUGUUAUUUGUUUUCUGCAAAGGCUAGCAACAGAAGUCCCCAUUUAUCUCAACUGCGAUCCAUGUCACAGUUUUGGGACCUUCACUGUAUGCAGAUAAAGGUAAUUUUUUCCCGAUUGAAAGGCAUAGAAAGAUGGAGCUGUGGAUAGAAGAUAAUGCAGAGCAGAUCAACAGUGUGGACUAGCGAGGGAUAUAAAGGGAAAUCCGGGCAGAGCUCCUCUCCAGAACACUUUUACACACUUGUUCUCAUCAAGCAAGGCUUUUCAUGAUAACAUAGAAAGCUCUGAGUAAAAACACAGAUAAAAUAAACAAGAAAAUCCUUUUUUAAAGGAGAGCUGUGCUCUGGGGAAUAAAAAAAAAAAAAAAAAAGGCAAAAAAACCAAA